This 253-nucleotide ribosomal RNA is filed under the name uncultured bacterium. RNAcentral describes it as "partial 16S ribosomal RNA". It matches the Rfam family "Bacterial small subunit ribosomal RNA", at positions 524 to 776 of the family's 1533-position model. The record is from RNAcentral.
UACGAAGGGGGCGAGCGUUGUUCGGAAUUACUGGGCGUAAAGGGCGCGCAGGCGGCUCUGAAAGUCAGAUGUGAAAGCCCCGGGCUUAACCUGGGAACUGCAUUUGAUACUCUAGAGCUUGAGUACGGGAGAGGAGAGUGGAAUUCCUAGUGUAGAGGUGAAAUUCGUAGAUAUUGGGAAGAACACCGGUGGCGAAGGCGGCUCUCUGGACCGUAACUGACGCUGAGGCGCGAAAGCGUGGGGAGCAAACAGG